AACGCGAAGAACCUUACCUGGGCUUGACAUGUGAGUGACGGGUGUGGAAACACACCUUCCCUUCGGGGCACUUUCACAGGUGGUGCAUGGCUGUCGUCAGCUCGUGUCGUGAGAUGUUGGGUUAAGUCCCGCAACGAGCGCAACCCCCGUCGCAUGUUGCCAGCAUUUAGUUGGGGACUCAUGCGAGACUGCCGGUGACAAACCGGAGGAAGGUGGGGAUGACGUCAAGUCCUCAUGCCCCUUAUGUCCAGGGCUACACACGUGCUACAUUGGCGCGUACAGAGGGCUGCGAUACCGCGAGGUGGAGCGAAUCCCUUAAAGCGCGUCUCGGUUCGGAUUGCAGGCUGAAAUUCGCCUGCAUGAAGGCGGAGUUGCUAGUAAUCGCGGAUCAGCACUGCCGCGGUGAAUACGUUCCCGGGCCUUGUA
This 426-nucleotide ribosomal RNA is filed under the name uncultured Actinomycetes bacterium. Its description in RNAcentral is "bacterial SSU rRNA". It matches the Rfam family "Bacterial small subunit ribosomal RNA", at positions 958 to 1385 of the family's 1533-position model. Lineage: Bacteria; Bacillati; Actinomycetota; Actinomycetes. The record is from RNAcentral.